GGAAAGGAAAGAGAAGGAAAAGAAGGGAAAAAGAAAUAAAAAGAAAAAUGUGCACAAGAAAAGUACAUAUUCUUUGAGAAUUUUGGCGAUUUUUGAUUUAUCAAAAAUUUUCGAGUAAUGAACAAUUGAUAGAAUCAAUGAAAUUGGUGCCAAAUUGCAUGAUUAUGAGUAUAAAAAAUUUUUUGGAUAACAAAUCGUUGAUGAAAUUGACGAAUUUGAUGAGAUUGCAAGAGUUUUUUGAGAAUCAGAACCUUUUGAGUAACAAAUUAUGAACAAAAUUGAUGAGAACUAACGAAUGUGAGA
Molecule: unclassified non-coding RNA, 303 nt
Filed under: Hevea brasiliensis (rubber tree)
Lineage: Eukaryota; Viridiplantae; Streptophyta; Magnoliopsida; Malpighiales; Euphorbiaceae
Source: RNAcentral